CCAGGCAGGCAUGGCAACACUUUUAUUUAAGAUACAAGUGCCUUUCUAUUUUCAGUUUUAAUCUUUCUCUUUCUCUUCAGUCACUUAAGUUUAGUUUUCCUUGGCAGGUAUAAGCAGCUUCAAAUUCUUUCUAGUCUCUAAUGGGCAAAGGGGUUCUAUCAGCCCCUGUACACUUCUAGAUUCUCAGCGACUUCAUUUCUUUCUUUCUUUUUUUGAGACGGAGUCCAGCUGUCGCCCAGGCUGGAGUGCAGUGGUGCAAUCUCAGCUUACUGCAAGCUCCACCUCCCAGGUUCACACCAUUCUCCUGCUUCAACCUCCCGAGUAGCUGAGACUACAGUCUCCUGCCACCACGCCUGGCUAAUUUUUUGUAUUUUAUAGUGGAGAUGGUGUUUCACUGUGUUAGCCAGGAGGUCUCGAUCUCCUGACCUUGUGAUCUGCCCGCCUCGACCUCCCAAAGUGCUGGGAUUACAGGCAUGAGCCACUGCGCCAGGCCCAUUUCAGUUUUAAAAUACACAAAUAAUUUUCUCAUUGCCAUGCCCAUGUAGGCAAAUGAUGACAUCACAAAUGAGUCCAGUUUUUGCCAUUGGUCUGCUGAGGGGCUGAGGAUGUGAGCAGUGCUGACCCUACACUGCGUCACAGGUCCUUUGCAAAAACAAUGCUCAGUUUGACUGCACCCUCCAGAAAAAAAGUUGCAGGAGAAGAACUUUUAUUUUGUUUCCAAGCCCACCGAAGCACAGUGGCCUCAUCAGAACCAAGACGACCAACCUUCUCCAGAGAAUGGACUUCUGUUGGGAGACUCUCCUCUUUCUACAAACAAAAUGGCCAGCUUGUUGAGAAUUUUUAGUACCAUUUGCAGAGCUCUCCAUAAUGUGAUACAGACUCUGGCCUGAAGAAAGCACAAAAUAAACAUGAACAAAUCAUAACUGUGCUUCAGUAGGAUCACCGAGAGCCAAGAUACAGAUUUGUGAGAUAACUACAAGUAUGUAUUUCUGUAUAUUCCACUUUAUGAAAUAACUCUUGCAUAAUCUUUGUGACAGACACUUUUUAUUUUCUAUGCCACAAGUGUGUCUCCUGCUUUGUUCUCUGAGGAUGAUGUCUGGAAAGUCUAACCUUAAUGUGUCUCCCAGAGAAUCUGUGCAAGAUGGUGCCGAGGUUGGAAUUAAGCGGAAACCAUGCCCUUUACUUGUUCUGAA
Molecule: long non-coding RNA, 1193 nt
Filed under: Pan troglodytes (chimpanzee)
Lineage: Eukaryota; Metazoa; Chordata; Mammalia; Primates; Hominidae
Description: lncRNA (ENSPTRG00000053411.1)
Source: RNAcentral